UACGUAGGCACCAAGCGUUGUCCGGAUUUAUUGGGCGUAAAGAGCUCGUAGGCGGUGUGUCACGUCGGCCGUGAAAACCUGCAGCUUAACUGUGGGCGUGCGGUCGAUACGGGCAUCACUGGAGUUCGGCAGGGGAGACUGGAAUUCCUGGUGUAGCGGUGAAAUGCGCAGAUAUCAGGAGGAACACCGGUGGCGAAGGCGGGUCUGGGCCGAUACUGACGCUGAGGAGCGAAAGCGUGGGGAGCAAACAGG
Molecule: ribosomal RNA, 252 nt
Filed under: uncultured bacterium
Lineage: Bacteria
Description: partial 16S ribosomal RNA
Rfam family: Bacterial small subunit ribosomal RNA
Source: RNAcentral